This is a non-coding RNA of Podarcis lilfordi (Lilford's wall lizard), 69 nucleotides long. NCBI's taxonomy places the organism in Eukaryota, Metazoa, Chordata, Lepidosauria, Squamata, Lacertidae. The record is from the annotation of a GenBank genome assembly.
ACCAUAGCUCAGUGGUAAAGCACUGGCUUUGUAUGCAAAAAGUCCCAGAUUCAAUCCCUGGUAUCACCA